ACAUGGGAGGAAUCAGUUCUGGUGGUUUAUUGCAAAACAUGGUGACUAUAGUUAAUGUACUAUGUAUUUCAAAACAUCUAAAAGAAAAGAUUUUAAGUGUUCUCACUACAAAGCAAUGAUAAAUAUUUGAGAUGCUGAACUUUUUAAUACUUACAUUCUUAAGUUUUUCAAGGCUUUUCUAAUAAGUCUGGCAUUCCUGCCCUUGGCAGUGUGAGAUGGAAGAUGAUGUCGCAAGGGUGGCCGAGAAGCAGCUGGGCUGAGCUGCUAAAAGCACAGAGACCGGGGCCAGACUCCUCAGCCUGAAAUCCUGCUUCCACUAAGUACCAGCUGGGUAACUUCAGGCCCUGGAGGUCCAUGCUUCUGCCCAAGCUGUGUCUCAUCUCUGCAGGUGGAGCCCAGUUGACAGGAAAUGUUUCUCCAGAAGCUGAAAAGCUGCCUGGUAAAGGCCUUUCAUAAAAUGGUCUGCGUUUGGGACCAGGAAGACAGAAGACUCCUCAAGAAGAGAACUGGAACCUUAACCCACUUCAGACUUCUUCAUGUCUGAAGCUUAUUUCCACCAUCCCAUUGAG
Homo sapiens (human) is the source of this 569-nucleotide long non-coding RNA. Ensembl annotates it as long intergenic non-protein coding RNA 968. Lineage: Eukaryota; Metazoa; Chordata; Mammalia; Primates; Hominidae. The record is from Ensembl.